This 181-nucleotide ribosomal RNA is filed under the name uncultured bacterium. RNAcentral describes it as "partial 16S ribosomal RNA". It matches the Rfam family "Bacterial small subunit ribosomal RNA", at positions 1320 to 1500 of the family's 1533-position model. The record is from RNAcentral.
AUGAAGUCGGAAUUGCUAGUAAUCGUAGGUCAGCAUACUACGGUGAAUACGUUCCCGGGCCUUGUACACACCGCCCGUCAAACCAUGAGAGUUGGCAACACCCGAAGUCGGUAGUCUAACCGCAAGGAGGACGCCGCCGAAGGUGGGGUUGAUGAUUAGGGUUAAGUCGUAACAAGGUAUC